GAUGUGGUGACCUUCUACGAUGUAGCUGUGAGCUUCUCCCAGGAGGAGUGGCCAUACCUGGAUGCCUCUCAGAGGGAGCUCUACAGAGAUGUGAUGCUGGAGAUCUACCAGCACCUGCAGGCUAUAGAAUGCAGACCACCAGUUCAGGAUUUGGCCUUUCAGCAAUUUCCUUUUAGGACGAAAUCUCCAAAGAGGGGUGAAAUGGGACGCAGCAAACCCCAGUGGGAUGGGGGUAUUCCUGUGUUGUG
Long non-coding RNA from Suncus etruscus (white-toothed pygmy shrew), 248 nucleotides. RefSeq lists it as uncharacterized. Lineage: Eukaryota; Metazoa; Chordata; Mammalia; Eulipotyphla; Soricidae. The transcript has 3 exons. The record is from RefSeq and is a predicted model, not a curated record.